This 749-nucleotide ribosomal RNA is filed under the name Shewanella sp. SP035. RNAcentral describes it as "bacterial SSU rRNA". It matches the Rfam family "Bacterial small subunit ribosomal RNA", at positions 565 to 1313 of the family's 1533-position model. The record is from RNAcentral. Lineage: Bacteria; Pseudomonadati; Pseudomonadota; Gammaproteobacteria; Alteromonadales; Shewanellaceae.
GCGUACGCAGGCGGUUUGUUAAGCGAGAUGUGAAAGCCCCGGGCUCAACCUGGGAACUGCAUUUCGAACUGGCAAACUAGAGUCUUGUAGAGGGGGGUAGAAUUUCAGGUGUAGCGGUGAAAUGCGUAGAGAUCUGAAGGAAUACCGGUGGCGAAGGCGGCCCCCUGGACAACGACUGACGCUCAUGUACGAAAGCGUGGGGRGSAAACAGGAUUAGAUACCCUGGUAGUCCACGCCGUAAACGAUGUCUACUCGGAAUUUGGUGUCUUGAACACUGGGUUCUCAAGCUAACGCAUUAAGUAGACCGCCUGGGGAGUACGGCCGCAAGGUUAAAACUCAAAUGAAUUGACGGGGGCCCGCACAAGCGGUGGAGCAUGUGGUUUAAUUCGAUGCAACGCGAAGAACCUUACCUACUCUUGACAUCCACAGAACUUUCCAGAGAUGGAUUGGUGCCUUCGGGAACUGUGAGACAGGUGCUGCAUGGCUGUCGUCAGCUCGUGUUGUGAAAUGUUGGGUUAAGUCCCGCAACGAGCGCAACCCUUAUCCUUAUUUGCCAGCACGUAAUGGUGGGAACUUUAGGGAGACUGCCGGUGAUAAACCGGAGGAAGGUGGGGACGACGUCAAGUCAUCAUGGCCCUUACGAGUAGGGCUACACACGUGCUACAAUGGUCGGUACAGAGGGUCGCAAAGCCGCGAGGUGUAGCUAAUCCCACAAAGCCGGUCGUAGUCCGGAUCGGAGUCUGCAACUC